UUUAUUUGUUAUGACGAAGGUGCUUAAAGCAAUUUGUAUUUUGCUUUGGUGAAAAGGGAAACAGGUGAGAAGCCUGUACUGUACCCGCAGCUGUAAUACUAUGAAAAUGAAUUCGAAAAAUCCACUGCAUUUUAAAUGUGGGAAGGUUGAAUCAAAAUUAUAUUAUAGUUUAGUCAGAAGACCUGCCUAAGUUGUUGCUUGUAA
This 204-nucleotide non-coding RNA is filed under the name Flammeovirga sp. The record is from RNAcentral. Lineage: Bacteria; Pseudomonadati; Bacteroidota; Cytophagia; Cytophagales; Flammeovirgaceae.